Hemicordylus capensis (graceful crag lizard) is the source of this 443-nucleotide long non-coding RNA. RefSeq lists it as uncharacterized. NCBI's taxonomy places the organism in Eukaryota, Metazoa, Chordata, Lepidosauria, Squamata, Cordylidae. The record is from RefSeq and is a predicted model, not a curated record. The transcript is spliced from 3 exons.
CGGCAGCCAGGCUGGUCUCUGGGUCAUCCAGGAGAGACCAUAUUACUCCUGUAUUGAAGGAGUUACACUGGCUGCCGAUAUGUUUCUGGGCAAAAUACAAGACUCACAAAUAGAUGGAUACUGAUAAACUGUAUAUGGAUUUCUCCAAUGGAUGUUCCUAGGACCUGGGCCAUAUUCCAUCUUUCUUGAGGCACCUACCUUAUAAACUAAACAAAGCACUUUUGAGAAAAGAAGAGGAAGAAAGCUUGUAUAUAAAUACAGAAAAUCUAUACUGACAAGAUAAAGGAAUGCAUUAUGUUUCCUAGUUAAAACCUUUAUACAAAGCUGUGCACUAAUAUUACACCUGGGAGCCAUGAAACUGCAAUAACAUCUCCUGCACAUCAUACAAAGAAGAAGAAAAUCAUGUUGUACAGGAGAAAAUGUAAGCUUAGGUCACAAAAUGG